GACGAACGCUGGCGGCGUGCCUAAUACAUGCAAGUCGAGCGAACAGAUGAGGCGCUUGCUCCUCUGACGUUAGCGGCGGGCGGGAGAGUAACACGUGGAUAACCUACCUAUAAGACUGGGAUAACUUCGGGAAACCGGAGCUAAUACCGGAUAAUCUAUUGAACCGCAUGGUUCAAUAGUGAAAGACGGUUUUGCUGUCACUUAUCGAUGGAUCCGCGCCGCAUUAGCUAGUUGGUAAGGUAACGGCUUACGAAGGCAACGAUGCGUAGCCGACCUGAGAGGGUGAUCGGCGACACGGGAGCUGGGACGCGCUCCAGGCUCCUGAGGGAGGGCGCAGUCGGGAAUCUGACGCAGUGGGCGGGAGCCUGGCGGAACGGCGGCGCGUGAGUGAUGACGAUCUUCGGAGCGUAAUACUCUGUUAUUGGGGGUAAACCAAUGUGUAAGUAGCUGUGCACGUCGUGACGGUACCUGAUCAGAAAGCCACGGCUAACUACGUG
RNAcentral lists this ribosomal RNA (497 nucleotides) under uncultured bacterium. RNAcentral describes it as "partial 16S ribosomal RNA". It matches the Rfam family "Bacterial small subunit ribosomal RNA", at positions 28 to 507 of the family's 1533-position model. The record is from RNAcentral.